UAGUCCACGCCGUAAACGAUGGUCACUCGAUGUAUGCAUCUCGCAUGCAUGCGUCCAAGCGAAAGCGUUAAGUGACCCACCUGGGGAGUACGCUCGCAAGAGUGAAACUUAAAGGAAUUGACGGGGGUCCGCACGAGCGGUGGAACAUGUGGUUUAAUUCGAUACUACGCGAAGAACCUUACCUAGGUUAAAUGUCUAUUGCUACACUCAGAAAAGAGUGGUUCCGCAAGGACGAUAGACAAGGUGCUGCAUGGCUGUCGUCAGCUCGUGCCGUGAGGUGUUGGGUUAAGUCCUCUAACGAGCGCAACCCCUAUGUUUAGUUGCCAGCAUGUAAUGAUGGGGACUCUAAGCAGACUGCCUGCGAAAGCAGUGAGGAAGGAGGGGACGAAGUCAAGUCAUCAUGGCUCUUACGCCUAGGGCUACACACGUGUUACAAUGGCGUGUACAGCGGGCUGCUACCUGGUAACAGGAUGCUAAUCCCUAAAAGCACGUCUC
RNAcentral lists this ribosomal RNA (495 nucleotides) under uncultured bacterium. Its description in RNAcentral is "bacterial SSU rRNA". It matches the Rfam family "Bacterial small subunit ribosomal RNA", at positions 791 to 1289 of the family's 1533-position model. The record is from RNAcentral.